UGGAAUAGUCAAAACUCAAAAGUAUGGAGUGACAAGCUAGCACAUUGGAUUAGCUUUCAACCACUUCAAACCAUCUUCCCUUUUAAGAUUCUCCAUCUGUCUUCUCCAUGAAUGUUAAGGGUCUGAUGAAGAACCUGUAUGGAAUUAUUUCGUGAUCUGGGCAAAAUCAUUGGUAAGAGGUUAUUCUUAAUGUCAGCUGAACUGAGUGACAGCUAGCCGUUUUUUUUCUGUACACAGAUAAUUUCAUUUGGAGUGAUUAAACAGCAUGAUUUUGUAACUUUUUAAAAAAGACUUUACACUUGACAUGAUGGCAUACACCUUCAAUCCCAGGAUUCAUGAGGCAGAGAGAGGCAGGAGGAUCUCUGAGUUCAAGGCAUCCUUAUCUACAAAGUGAUUUGCUGGCCAGCCGGGGCUAUGCAGUGAGACUCCAUCUUUAAAGAGGAGGAACAUUCUUAUUGCAUUUAUUUGUGUAUGUGUGUGGAGGGUAUAUGUAUACAUAUAUGGAGGUCAGAAGACAACAUGGAAGGAUCGGUUGUCUCCUUCCACCAUGUGAGUAGUGGAACUGGAACUCAGGUCCAGGCCUUUUUGUUUGGUUUUGAGCUAGGAUCUCACUGUGGAUUCUAGACUGGCCUCAAAGCUUGCAGUGAUAUGCUUGCUCAUCUCUGCCUCCAUGAGCACUGGGGUUACAGGGAUACCUUACAUGCUUGGCGAGGUCUUGUAAACUGCAGGCUAAAAUCCAAGGUGAAUGUAUGGUAACCUAAACUAUAAUGUGGAGCCUCCAGGCAGCACUGGAAACCAAUUUUAUAUUCAAUUACUCUUGAGAAGAAGGGUAAGCUAUAGGCUAUCAUCAGUCCCAGUACUCUUCCUGCUGUAAUCAUCACAAUACCAAACGACUAAAAAGACUUAACAAUUUAUAAGUCUAUAGACUCAAAGUUGGAAAGUCUCAUUAUGCAGGUUUCAAGGGGAACACUAAGGUAAGAGAUUAGGGGAGUUGUAAAUGUCAGGGAAAUACAGCACGGUGAGGACUCUGAGGAGAGAUGAUGCCCACAUAGGGGUCCCCCUUCCAUGGACCAUGGAAGUCCUAAGACAUGUAGUUGGUGAUGAGUAGCCCAUAAUAUGUGUGUGUAGUCAGUUUGCCUCUGAUUUCUGAGUGCACAGAGAAAGGAAAAGCGUUGGUCUUUUGGUUGGGCCCAUCAUCCAGUAUGUGCCACUUGCAGCACCUAAUGGCUAAGUGUACUUGGUAAACUUCUUUUGAUGAAGUGAAGAAUUCAGACUCACAGUCACAGUAUGGGUAUCUUGUCAUUCCAUUACAGAAGCUGAGAGAGCGUAAAGCGAAAGAGGCUGCUGCAGGAAAAGAAUGAGAUACAAAAUAUUAAUCUGGUUGCUAUUACUUUUAAUGUCUCUGUGUGCCCUGUAUAGAGAAUACCAUUUCAGGUAACUGUGAAACUUAAUGUUGUAUUCUUAUAUGUGGUAAGAAUCUGGUGAGUCAGAAAAUUAACAGUAUUGCCCCUUAAGUAAAUCAGCAUCCAGAUGCAUCAAUCUGAACAUAAAAGAAUUAUACCCAAG
Molecule: long non-coding RNA, 1566 nt
Filed under: Cricetulus griseus (Chinese hamster)
Lineage: Eukaryota; Metazoa; Chordata; Mammalia; Rodentia; Cricetidae
Description: lncRNA (ENSCGRG00015033190.1)
Source: RNAcentral